Molecule: ribosomal RNA, 637 nt
Filed under: Penicillium maximae
Lineage: Eukaryota; Fungi; Ascomycota; Eurotiomycetes; Eurotiales; Aspergillaceae
Description: eukaryotic LSU rRNA
Rfam family: Eukaryotic large subunit ribosomal RNA
Source: RNAcentral
AGGUUGACCUCGGAUCAGGUAGGGAUACCCGCUGAACUUAAGCAUAUCAAUAAGCGGAGGAAAAGAAACCAACAGGGAUUGCCCCAGUAACGGCGAGUGAAGCGGCAAGAGCUCAAAUUUGAAAGCUGGCUCCUUCGGGGUCCGCAUUGUAAUUUGCAGAGGAUGUUUCGGGAGCGGCUCCCAUCUAAGUGUCCUGGAACGGACCGUCAUAGAGGGUGAGAAUCCCGUAUGGGAUGGGGUGUCCGCGCCCGUGUGAAACUCCUUCGACGAGUCGAGUUGUUUGGGAAUGCAGCUCUAAAUGGGUGGUAAAUUUCAUCUAAAGCUAAAUAUUGGCCGGAGACCGAUAGCGCACAAGUAGAGUGAUCGAAAGAUGAAAAGCACUUUGAAAAGAGAGUUAAAAAGCACGUGAAAUUGUUGAAAGGGAAGCGUUUGCGAUCAGACUCGCCUUCGGGGUUCAGCCUGCCUUCGGGCAGGUGUACUUCCCCGUCGGCGGGCCAGCGUCGGUUUGGGUGGCCGGUCAAAGGCCCUGGGAAUGUAACGCCUCUCGGGGCGUCUUAUAGCCCAGGGUGUCAUGCGGCCUACCCGGACCGAGGAACGCGCUUCGGCUCGGACGCUGGCAUAAUGGUCGUAAACGACC